MicroRNA precursor from Nicotiana attenuata, 97 nucleotides. It matches the Rfam family "MIR6152 microRNA precursor family". The record is from Rfam. NCBI's taxonomy places the organism in Eukaryota, Viridiplantae, Streptophyta, Magnoliopsida, Solanales, Solanaceae.
UGGACAGAUUAUUGUAUUCGACUGUAUUCACGACGUGAAAUAGGGGAUUACACUGUUUUUAAAACGGAAAGUGAAUCAAUUAACAUAAUAGACUCCU